This 3100-nucleotide long non-coding RNA is filed under the name Triticum aestivum (bread wheat). RNAcentral's name for it is "long non-coding RNA (TAES_LNC023413)". Lineage: Eukaryota; Viridiplantae; Streptophyta; Magnoliopsida; Poales; Poaceae. The record is from RNAcentral.
CCUUUGGUGAGGGAUUUUCAUCUACCUCUUUUUUUGUAUGUAGCCACCGAAUGUUUUAACAAAUCUUAUCUCUGAUUGCAGCUAAAAGAAAGCUGACUAGGUCUUCCUGGCAAGGCAGCUAAUCACAUGACGAGUUUGGAUGAUGAUGAUAGUCGUUUAAUUUUACUGCCUGCUUGGUAUUUGUUUAUGCAUACGAACAACUCUGAUUAUGAUUGCUGCAUUGCAUAAGGUUGCUUCCUUCUGAUGAUAAAUGUCGAAUGACUAUGGUAGUUUUUUUUGGCUUCACUACAUAAGGUUGCCUGUGCCUGGCUCAGACCCAUAUGUGACUCCAAUAUCUUCCUUUCUGCUCCAUAAAAGGUUCUGGUAUGUCUCAAUUCAUUCUCAGGGCAUUCAUGUCUGGUUUGUGAGGUCUGCUAAGUUUAACUCUUGCACUGCAAGAUAGGUUUCCAUCAAUUAUUACUUUUGAAUGACAACAAGUUCAGAAAUUGUUGCUCUGUAGUGAUAGUACUCUUAGAUUAUUUUAGUCUUAUUGGUUUGGAUGCUGGAAAUAUUUGUUUGUGUAAAUAAUGGUGCCUCACAACAUUUGGAUUUUAAAUUCUUAGAUUGUUUGCUAUGAUAAGGAAGUAGUCAUGUAUACAUAUACUAAUGUAGCAGUUUACCUUACUGCUUUCGGGCCAGUCGGGGGAGCUCAUGGCAGGGUCAGCAGCUUCAACUGCACCAAUGCAACUGUAUGUCUCUUUAGAAUAUGUACUCAGCUCAAAAUAAAAAUCUCAAGUGUAUAUGUUCUUGAGACAUGACAUACAUGAACACUCACAUGAUGGCUGCAAUCCCAUUAUUAACCACAUGCUUCUAUUUCUCUCUGAAUUCGUAUUUUAAACAUGGUGAAUUUCUGGGAAUGUGGUUUCAUGUAUAUCUAUGAAUACAUACAUGGUCAAUAAGUUUGCUUGGUAAAACAUAAGAAUUCAGGUUCACAUAAGCACCCACUUUUAUGUUGGCUACAUAUUAGUUACACUAAUGCACUACUCGAGCUUUGCUUUCCUUGUAUGGAAGUUUCAUCCGUUAACUCUGUUUCUUUUUACUCCAUUUUGUUCCUACAGGUCAUAAACCAUCCCCUUCCUGCCAUCAAUACCCUGGGCAUUGUUUGUACAGAAGUACCCAGUGCUACCUUAUUCAUAUUUAAUUGUAGCUCAUCUUUUCCAUGAAUUUGUUAGUAGAAUUUAUGUUCUGUUGCGAAGUGGCAUAUAUAAUUUGAUAUUUCUCCAGGAAAGAUAUCAUGAAGUGUGUUUGUCAUUCUGUAUAUUAACCGAGGGAGGAUCCUGCUGCUAACUGGCCUAAGAAAAUCCCUUGUUAAAAAUAUUAGUAAUGGGAGUUUGUGGCGGGAGGGGUGUUAUUUUAACAUCGUUAGUAGUUCCAUUUUUGGUCUCCUGUGUUUGAAACCAUCUUUACCUGCAGCCCCCUGUUUGGUUUUUUAGAUGGACUUUUCUUACCUAACAAGGCGGUAGGAUAAUUAGAAACAUUCAUUCUCUAAUAUAACACAUAUAUAAAAAGUUUCUAUAUGGUUCAAGCUUGCCCGGAUCUUUAUUUUGGUACAAACCUUCCUGCAUUUCGAGGUUAUGAUAACUGUGAUGCCAUUUAAUCAUGUGAAUACUGCUCUGCCUUGCAUAAUUGCCUCAUAUACUAUUCCUAAUGAGUGAAUGCUUUUUCCAGCCGGUAGAAUUACUAAGUUCUAUUGGUUAAUCUUGGUAUCACCACUAUACCAGUUUUUCAUGUGCAUCACUAUCCUACCAGUUAGUGUAUUGCUUUGAUAUUGAUAAUUCCUUGUGUUUUUAUGCUCACAGCAAUACUCUUGGUCUAAAUUUAACUUUUACCAGGGUUCAGGUGGUAAGCACAUUGACAGGAUCGACGAUCGACAACCCGAUCUAUCUCACUGAUGUUGAAGGUACACAUAUAUACAUUGGGUAGUAAACUCCGCUGCCUCUGAGUUGUAUAGGUAAUUUCAUGCUUUCCAUGACAAUUGGUUUGGUUAUUCAGGUAGAGGCCCAGAGGUUAAGAUUAUGUGCAGUGAACCAUGCCUUUGUGAGAGGACCCAGACAAGAGGUAGCAUAUUCUGUUGUGACAACUUAUAAUUAUCAUCAGAGUUUCUUGGCAAUAUUCGUCAUAAUACAAUAUAUAUGAAUCAUGUCUAAAUUUCACAUUAUAAUCAAUGCACAGGACCGCAUGUCGAGUAUCCGCCCUAAAAGUGUGGAGUGCAUCCGCCGUAAACAGCUACAUUGGUCUCCACCCGGUAAGAUUGAUGGUGUAGUUCUGUGCCUUCCUCUGCUUCUCUUAGUUUAAGGAAAUGCCUAUUUAAGUAUGAAAGGUGAAUUUUAUUUUGAGAGACAUCAAUAAGAAAUAAGAUGUGAUCCUCAACUAUUCUCCGUGCAAUUUAGCAUUAUCUAAAACCUACACUGUCCAUUUCCUGGAAUUAUUCAAGAGAUCUUAGGUUAGUGUCUUAGGCUUUGGCUCAAGGUUCAUGUUGGUAUGUGGUAACAAAUUAGGUGCCAACCUGGGACAUUAGGAAAUUUUCAUUCAUAGACAAGAUCUAUGAGAUUGGUGCCUUUAUUACUGAUUUUGUGCAGUGAUCUGGUUUGGAUUUCCUCUCUUGACUUGCUCUUCUUAUGUAGUUCAAUGUUGCAUCACUCGGUUCGUUUGCUUGCUUCCUUUGCUCGGUUCAGGAGGCAGACAGGGAGAAGGUUAGGGCCAGUUACAAGAACCUCAGGGUCUUGCGUCAUGGCUGUAUCCAUGCAUGUGUUGAAAGCAUUGAGCUUAGUUUAUAUAUGUAGACGCAAUUUCCUUUUCGUGUAUAAGAUAAUUGGUUUAUAUAUAGACUAUCCAUGAUGGAAGUUGAAAUUACUGUGAUAAUUGAUUUAUCUGCUAUUUUUUAUAUUUGCAAUGCUUGCCGGGUUGGAUAUGAUUAUACCCGGUAGCGGUGUGCUGCCAGGUGCGGCAAGCCGCACUUCCUACCUAGUACAUAUGGUUAUACCAAACAUUUUUCGCUAUUUAUGAUUUAUUCAGUCAACGUAAGAUAUUAAUUAGUAUAUGUACCAUUAUGUUUGACACA